RNAcentral lists this unclassified non-coding RNA (253 nucleotides) under plant metagenome. Its description in RNAcentral is "partial contains small subunit ribosomal RNA, internal transcribed spacer 1, and 5.8S ribosomal RNA". The record is from RNAcentral.
UUUCCGUAGGUGAACCUGCGGAAGGAUCAUUAACGAGUUAGGGUCUUCUAGGCCCGACCUCCCAACCCUUUGCUUAUUGAACCAUUGUUGCUUCGGUGGGUCCGUCUAACGACCGCCGGGGGACCGCCGCGAGGCGCCCCUUGGCCCGCACCCGCCGACAGCCCAACUCUAAAUCCUUUAUGAAUCGUGUCCUAUGUCUAAAUCAUGAUUAAAAAUCAAAACAAAACUUUCAACAACGGAUCUCUUGGUUCUG